CGCUGGCGGCGUGCUUGAUACAUGCUUUCCAAACGGAAAGUGUAGCAAUAUACUUUUAGUGGCGAACGGGUGAGUAACGCGUUGGUGACCUGCCCCGAAGCGAGGGAUAACAGUUCGAAAGAACUGCUAAUACCUCAUGUGAUCACCGGUUUUAGAAUCUGGUGAUUAAAGGUGAAAAUCACUUCGGGAGGGGCCUGCGUCCCAUCAGCUAGUUGGUAAGGUAAUGGCUUACCAAGGCGAUGACGGGUAGGGGACCUGAGAGGGUGGCCCCCCACAAUGGAACUGAAACACGGUCCAUACACCUACGGGUGGCAGCAGUAGGGAAUAUUGCAAAUGGGCGAAAGCCUGAUGUAGCAACGCCGCGUGUGCGAUGAAGGUCUUCGGAUUGUAAAGCACUUUUUGGAGGGAUGAGGAAGGACAGUACCUCCAGAAUAAGCCUCGGCUAACUACGUGCCAGCAGCCGCGGUAACACGUAGGAGGCAAGCGUUAUUCGGAUUUACUGGGCGUAAAGCGCGUGCAGGCGGUUUGGAAAGUUGGAUGUGAAAGCUCCUGGCUCAACUGGGAGAGGUCGUUCAAAACUUCCAGACUUGAGAGUGGUAGAGGGAGGUGGAAUUCCGGGUGUAGUGGUGAAAUGCGUAGAUAUCCGGAGGAACACCAGUGGCGAAAGCGGCCUCCUGGACCACUUCUGACGCUCAGACGCGAAAGCUAGGGUAGCAACGGGAUUAGAGACCCCGGUAGUCUAGCUGUAACGAUGUGACUUGCGUGGUGGUUUAAUCAUCAGUGGCGAGCUAACGCGAUAGUCACGCUGGGACUACGCGCAAGUAACUCAGGAAUUGACGGUCGGCCAAGCACGACCGUGUGGGUUAAUUCGAUG
Molecule: ribosomal RNA, 874 nt
Filed under: uncultured bacterium
Lineage: Bacteria
Description: bacterial SSU rRNA
Rfam family: Bacterial small subunit ribosomal RNA
Source: RNAcentral